UGUGUGUGUGUGUGUGUGUGUGUGUGUGUGCGCGCGCACCCACCCACACACACACACACACACACU
RNAcentral lists this microRNA precursor (66 nucleotides) under Podarcis lilfordi (Lilford's wall lizard). Lineage: Eukaryota; Metazoa; Chordata; Lepidosauria; Squamata; Lacertidae. The record is from RNAcentral.